RNAcentral lists this ribosomal RNA (498 nucleotides) under uncultured bacterium. RNAcentral's name for it is "partial 16S ribosomal RNA". It matches the Rfam family "Bacterial small subunit ribosomal RNA", at positions 28 to 523 of the family's 1533-position model. The record is from RNAcentral.
GACGAACGCUGGCGGCGUGCCUAACGCAUGCAAGUCGAGCGGAGUCAGUAAGAGGAAGUUUUCGGAUGGAAUCUUAUUGAUUUAGCGGCGGACGGGUGAGUAACGCGUGAGCGACCAACCUUGCACAGGGGGAUAACGGACCGAAAGGUUCACUAAUACCGCAUGAGACCACGGUGUUGCAUGACACCGGGGUCAAAGGAGCAAUCCGGUGCAAGACGGGCUCGCGUCCGAUUAGGUAGUUGGGGGGGUAACGGCCCACCAAGCCUAUGAUCGGUGGCCGACCUGAGAGGGUGAUCGGCCACAUUGAGACUGAGAUACGGUCCUAACACCGACGGGAGGCAGAUGUGGGGAAUAUUGGGCAAUGGGGGAAACCCUGACCCAGCAACGCCGCGUGAAGGAAGAAGGUUUUCGGAUUGUAAACUUCUGUCCUUGGUGAAGAGAAGAAGACGGUAGCCAAGGAGGAAGCCCCGGCUAACUACGUGCCAGCCGCCGCAGUAA